ACACCUCAUUACAAGUAUGUUAUGGGAGAUAGUGUCAAAAGCCUUGCUGAAGUCUACGAGAACAAUAUCCACCCUCCCUUCAUCCAGUCAGCCAGCGAUGACAUCGUAGAAGGCCAUAAGGGUGGUCAUGUGUCACUCCUGGCAAACUUCUUUUCUUCCGCUUACUUGGUGAUGACAUCUGCAAUAAGCUGUUCCAUAAUCUUCCGAGAACUGGAGAUGCAGAUUUGAGGAAACGGACCCGCAAGGAAAUGCAUAAGGAGAGCCAUCAAGAGUCAGUUUCUCAAAGUAUAUCUUCAGUGAGAAUCAGUCAGUGCAAAAAAACUUAUUAUCUGCUUAUGCACACCUGUACUUCUGGCUUAGAAGAGACACAGAUCAAGAAAGUAAGUGCUCUCUGCUCUAUUGAAGACUUUUCACAGGGAAAUCAGCUGAAGGCAUAAGCACAAAAAUCUACACUUUUCUAUUGUUUACACCAAAUACAAGCCAGUUAGGACUUCCUUCUUUACACAGAUGGUACAUUCAUGAAAUAAGAUCAACCACAGUACUUAUCUAAAGCUGAGUGUAUUUUCAUUGUUAUUCUGACUGAGUGAUUAAUGUUUUGCUCCCCAGCUGUUUUCAGUCCUAUUAAGGCACAGUUCUCCAAACUGCUAGUACACAAAGCCUGUAUAUUUAACCAAAUACUUAAAGCACAUGCCAAACUUGGACAGACAUGUUUGUAUCUUCCAUAUUGGCAUUUCAGUUCUGCAGUUUGGAGAUGUGAAAGAAGCUUCCUCCCCAUGUGCCCAUGCCUGCACAACAUCUAGAAGUCAAUCCUGGUGUUUCAAAGUCUUCAAAGAUCUUGUUGCAAUUGAGACACUGACACACUGGUUUGCAAGCAUUAUCAAGAAGGACUUGAUAUUUACAAAUUUACCAGCUAUUCACUUUUUCUUAUACAACGAGUCUUUAACUUUUCUGUAGAGUCUUACAGAAAGUUUAAAACAAAGCAUAAAAGAUGCCUUCAAUGUUACAUGUCUCCUCUUGUAAGAGGAGAAACAGCAGCAUGACAAAACAAAUAAACCAAAAAAACAAACCAGUCUGAGGCACCAAACUUCAGAAAUAAUUGGUGUGCAUGGAGUACCUCUAGCUACAGAAGUCCCACAACCUGUUAGUAGGAACCCAGACUGUGCAUUAGCUGAAACCUGUCUGACCCUGGGUGAGCAGUGCAAGGUUAAGGGCAGAGCAAGUCAGUGAUGGGCAUAGCCUGAACUUCACAAGUGCUAUUGAUUUUAUUGAUGGAGUCACUGAACUGCUGUUGUACAUUAAGUAGGGAGGAACAAGUGAAAAUUGCAUUAAUUCAAAUUGUUAAAUCAAUAUUUAACAGCAUAUUUAGUGGCUGUUGACCUUAAACGUACCUUCGGUAAAGCAAAGAUAAAUCAGAAAAGCCAGAGUUACAGGCAAUCCAGGUAUC
Non-coding RNA from Meleagris gallopavo (turkey), 1444 nucleotides. The record is from RefSeq and is a predicted model, not a curated record. NCBI's taxonomy places the organism in Eukaryota, Metazoa, Chordata, Aves, Galliformes, Phasianidae.